UUCCUGUUUCCGGCAUCCGGAAAUGUUAUCAUGUCCAUUUCCUGCACCGUUUUUUUUGUAAAUAUUAUAAAAAGAUAUCAACAUUUGUUUUUAAAAUCACAGUCUAACCUGUAUAUUACGAUUUUAAACAUAAAAGCACCACACCACACUGUGUAGAUAUCUGUGAGAAUAUUUGUUUCAGCAUGAAACCUAUUUAUCCAAAGAGGGAGUGCUCCGAUAUAAAUUUAUAACAGC
This 234-nucleotide long non-coding RNA is filed under the name Mytilus galloprovincialis (Mediterranean mussel). Lineage: Eukaryota; Metazoa; Mollusca; Bivalvia; Mytilida; Mytilidae. The record is from RNAcentral.